This 266-nucleotide ribosomal RNA is filed under the name uncultured prokaryote. RNAcentral describes it as "partial 16S ribosomal RNA". It matches the Rfam family "Bacterial small subunit ribosomal RNA", at positions 524 to 788 of the family's 1533-position model. The record is from RNAcentral.
UACGUAGGUGGCGAGCGUUAUCCGGAAUUAUUGGGCGUAAAGAGCGCGCAGGUGGUUGAUUAAGUCUGAUGUGAAAGCCCACGGCUUAACCGUGGAGGGUCAUUGGAAACUGGUCGACUUGAGUGCAGAAGAGGGAAGUGGAAUUCCAUGUGUAGCGGUGAAAUGCGUAGAGAUAUGGAGGAACACCGGUGGCGAAGGCGGCUUCCUGGACCGAUACUGACGCUGAGACGCGAAAGCGUGGGGAGCAAACAGGAUUAGAUACCCCU